This 834-nucleotide ribosomal RNA is filed under the name Setophoma chromolaenae. RNAcentral describes it as "eukaryotic LSU rRNA". It matches the Rfam family "Eukaryotic large subunit ribosomal RNA", at positions 71 to 925 of the family's 3401-position model. The record is from RNAcentral. Lineage: Eukaryota; Fungi; Ascomycota; Dothideomycetes; Pleosporales; Phaeosphaeriaceae.
GGGAUUGCCCUAGUAACGGCGAGUGAAGCGGCAACAGCUCAAAUUUGAAAUCUGGCUCUUUCAGGGUCCGAGUUGUAAUUUGCAGAGGGCGCUUUGGUGUUGGCAGCGGUCCAAGUUCUUUGGAACAGGACGUCACAGAGGGUGAGAAUCCCGUACGUGGUCGCUAGCCCUCACCGUGUAAAGCCCCUUCGACGAGUCGAGUUGUUUGGGAAUGCAGCUCUAAAUGGGAGGUAAAUUUCUUCUAAAGCUAAAUACUGGCCAGAGACCGAUAGCGCACAAGUAGAGUGAUCGAAAGAUGAAAAGCACUUUGGAAAGAGAGUCAAAUAGCACGUGAAAUUGUUGAAAGGGAAGCGCUUGCAGCCAGACUUGCCUGUAGUUGCUUAUCUAGACUUUUGUCUAGUGCACUCUUCUAUAGGCAGGCCAGCAUCAGUUUGGGCGGUUGGAUAAAGGUCUCUGUCAUGUACCUCCUUUCGGGGAGGCCUUAUAGGGGAGACGACAUGCAACCAGCCUGGACUGAGGUCCGCGCAUCUGCUAGGAUGCUGGCGUAAUGGCUGUAAGCGGCCCGUCUUGAAACACGGACCAAGGAGUCUAACAUCUAUGCGAGUGUUUGGGUGUCAAGCCCAUACGCGUAAUGAAAGUGAACGGAGGUGGGAACCUUAGGGUGCACCAUCGACCGAUCCUGAUGUCUUCGGAUGGAUUUGAGUAAGAGCAUGGCUGUUGGGACCCGAAAGAUGGUGAACUAUGCUUGAAUAGGGUGAAGCCAGAGGAAACUCUGGUGGAGGCUCGCAGCGGUUCUGACGUGCAAAUCGAUCGUCAAAUUUGGGCAUAGGGGCG